GAUUAACGCUGGCGGCGUGCAUAACACAUGCAAGUCGAACGAUGAAACUUAAAUGAUUUCUUCGGAAUGAACUUAAGUGGAUUAGUGGCGGACGGGUGAGUAACGCGUGAGUAACCUGCCUUACACAAGGGGAUAGCCGUUGGAAACGACGAAUAAUACCCUAUGAAACUAUCACUUCGCAUGAAGCGAUAGUCAAAGUGUUAGCGGUGUAAGAUGGACUUGCGUCUGAUUAGCUAGUUGGUGAGAAAAAAGCCCACCAAGGCAACGAUCAGUAGCCGGCUUGAGAGAGUGUACGGCCACAUUGGGACUGAGACACGGCCCAGACUCCUACGGGAGGCAGCAGUGGGGAAUUUUGCACAAUGGGGGAAACACUGAUGCAGCGACGCCGCGUGAUUUAGAAGGCCUUCGGGUUGUAAAAAUCUUUUGUAUAGGAAGAAAAUGAAAGUACUAUACGAAUAAGGUCCGGCUAAUUACGU
This 476-nucleotide ribosomal RNA is filed under the name uncultured bacterium. Its description in RNAcentral is "partial 16S ribosomal RNA". It matches the Rfam family "Bacterial small subunit ribosomal RNA", at positions 28 to 506 of the family's 1533-position model. The record is from RNAcentral.